CUUAAAAGUUAAAACUCAAAGCACUUCUUUUUGCCAAUAACAUGGUCUAAGUUUGUGAUCAUUAUAUGCUUCAGAAUCUUCGCCUGAGCCUUCUGCCGAGCACAACCUGGGAGUUCUUUUGGCACCAGAGAAUGACAUUGGGAAGAACUCCUUUAUUUUCAGUAUGGAGAUCAGGACAUGUUAUGCAAUUGGCAGUUAGAUUACGAAGAAGAACCUAGCACACGUUCUUCAACAAAGAAGAGAAAAUCUUCGUCAAAAAAGUCAAGUAAGAAGCUAAAGGAAAAUGGGGAACGUGGAGAAUGACUCUAGAAAAGAAAACAGAAAAAAGAAGAGAAGAAAGAAAAAAACAUACCAAGUUGAUGCGAGGUUUCUUACAAAAUGGAAUGCUUAGGGAUUGUAAUUUGAUCAGUGGUUUGAAAGUGAAGGAACAAGGCAGCAUAAGCGUAAAAGCAAAAUUUGAGUCCAAUGUUGUCACACGACCCAAGGUGCGAGCUUUUUGCAUGCCCAUGGUAACGUGCCUUUAGUGUUUUUAAGAUCAGGAAUCAUAUACAAUAUUUUUUGAAAGGGUUAAUGGUGACUUUAGUCUCUUAAAACACUAUUAAUCCUUUAUUAAGUUUAUUUAUAUGUUGUCGUCUGUCCAAUUUUGUUAGAGAAGUGAAGAUACCAACUCUAGAGACCAAAAACCAAUGUAAAGAGAAAUAGAUGAGAUUAUGAAAGAAAAUGAGUAAACAAGGGUAUGCUAAUGCCGUAUUAUUUUCCCCGUCAUGAAUGCAAUAAUUUAGUUUUCUCUAUUCCAUAAUGCUGUAAGAUUUGUCUUAGUGUUUGUUUGGUGUACCUUCAAAAUAAAUCUCU
Molecule: long non-coding RNA, 852 nt
Organism: Glycine soja
Lineage: Eukaryota; Viridiplantae; Streptophyta; Magnoliopsida; Fabales; Fabaceae
Exons: 3
Source: RefSeq, a predicted model, not a curated record